Long non-coding RNA from Capra hircus (goat), 778 nucleotides. RefSeq lists it as uncharacterized. The transcript is spliced from 3 exons. NCBI's taxonomy places the organism in Eukaryota, Metazoa, Chordata, Mammalia, Artiodactyla, Bovidae. The record is from RefSeq and is a predicted model, not a curated record.
CCCCACCCCACCUCGACCCCACCCCCAGCCCUCAGUCGCCGCCCGGGGGUAGGAAGGAAAAAGGGCUAGAGCCGAGGGGGAAGGGGCUGGGAUUUCCCCGGCUGGAUCCGCUAAAGGCCCAAGAGAAGGGGAUUUCAGUUUUGAGCUGGAAGUGAGUCGCUUGCGUCUGGCAUCCCUUAGUCCGCGCCCCCGGCCGGAGAGACCGCGCUGGCCCUCGAGGAGGUUUGGGACUGUGCCCGCUGCCCUUGGGCCCUGGCGACCACUUAGAAAUCCCCACGCGCCUCCCGCACCCCCCGCCCCUGUCCAUCCGGCGGGGUGCCUGCGGGUCGCGCUGCCCUCCGCCCGCCUGGUCUACGCCGCGCUCCCUCCCGCGCUUGCUGGGCACCCAGGCCAGUCCCAGGGGCUCGAAAGCCAGGGACCCGGAUGGGACCCUCCAGAAGCCCUAAUGGGGCAAGCCUUCCAGAAGACAGAAGACGUGUGAAACGAGCUGUUACAAAAGGACGCUAAGGAGUUUUCUACUGCCCCUCCUAUCUCCUGUCAUAGAUUCAGUUUUCCAGGAAGUCAGCAUACAGUGAGCCAACAGCUAUCCUGUCUCCUCCGAGAAAAAGCAAAUUGGUUUCCAUCGCUACCUGGCCCGCAGAAUCAGUUUACAGGAUGGUUUGCCAUUUCUGCUAAAAGGGGACUCCAUACUGUAAACUGGGGCUUCUGUGGUGACUCAGAUGGUAAAGAAUCUGCCUGCAAUGCAGGAGACCUGGGUUCGAUCCCUGGGUCAGGAACA